Molecule: ribosomal RNA, 428 nt
Filed under: uncultured eukaryote
Lineage: Eukaryota
Description: bacterial SSU rRNA
Rfam family: Eukaryotic small subunit ribosomal RNA
Source: RNAcentral
AAGUUAAGGGUUUUGGAUUACCGGAGAAAAGGCCUGAGAGACGGCCAUUACUUCUAAGGAAGGCAGCAGGCGCGUAAAUUACCCAAUCCUAAUACGGGGAGGUAGUGACAAGAAAUAUUGAUAUUGGACCCAAAGGGUACAAUGAUUGAAAUGAGAACAAUAUAAAAAACUUAACGACUAACAAUUGGAGGGCAAGUCUGGUGCCAGCAGCCGCGGUAAUUCCAGCUCCAAGAGUGUAUAUUAAAGUUGUUGCGGUUAAAAGCUCGUAGUUGAAUUUCUGAAAAUAAUCUUGUGAUUGAUUUAACCGUCAUGAACAAAAAUUGUUUACAUACUUGAUAGAUGGAAACAUUUAUCUUAAUGACUUUGAAAAAAUUAGAGUGUUCAAAGCAUGAUUCACAUUUGAAUAAUACAGCAUGGGAUAAUAUAAU